AGGAUGCUUGAUGAAAAAUUCAUGGUCUGGCGUAGCAGCAGCCUGCUCUGACUCCUGAGUAAACGAAAACACUCCGACUCUGCCGCACGCAGCGAACACAGGCCAGAAAAUAAAGAAUCCCAAGCCCCACAGAGACAUUCGAAUUGUGCAAUAAACAAAUCGCUGUCCAUCGCAGUGCGCAGUCUUCUAAUCUAAAAUUGGAAAUCCAAUACCGAACAAAUUAGGCAACCGCGAGUGUCCCGAAAAAUACAUCCUUUAAUACAUAUAGUUUUGAAAUCCUGCGAGUGAUUGUAUAAUUUCAACGGGUGUGGGAGCACAACGGCAGCGGCCAAAUAGAUGUAUCCUUAAUCCCCACCAGGAUAUAUCCCCGAUAAGGCCAUAAAUCUCUGCACGAGAUAAUCAGCGAAAAUUCCCAAAAAAAUCCGGCAUGAAAACUUAAUUGACUUGAAUUAAUAAUUUGGAGUACGAUUUGUUGUUGUUUGUGCGCCUACGGUUUUUUCGGUGCGAAUGUGGCUACAAAGCGGAAUCGGAAAAAGUUACUGAAAUACAAAAGCCAGAAAAAAAAAGAAUACAUAGAGAACUUGCCGCUGCCGUUGCCGCCUGUGAAAGCGAGUCCAGUGAACGAGAGGGGGUGGAGAAAGGCAGGAAGGCGAAGAAAGGAGAGAGAGGCGCACAGGAGUGGGCCACAGGAGCGGAGGUGGUCGCGGAGUUGGAGAAAGGUCCGAGAGACGGAAGCAAGAGAACCGCCAUUACUGUGCAAGCCGAAAGAGAGAGCGCCCCAAAGAGAGCACCAGGAGAAAGUGGGAAAAAGUUUGUGGAACCCGUUAGCGGUGGAUGGAAAAUUUAUAAACAAAACUUGGAUUCCACAAAGAAAGCAACGGAAAAAGGAUGAUUAAUUCGAUGAAUAACCAAAUAGAAUAAAAUAAAAAGGACACAUUAUCAGUAAUUACUGAAUAAACAUAAUAUUGAACCACAGAAAUGAGAGCUAAUGCUCUAACCAAACAUAUCAUUCAAAAAACAAUUCGAAAAUUGUGGAACUAAAUCCAAAAAUCGGACUUUUUCCUACAAAACCCAAAAAAAAAUCAAUUUCAAUGAAAUAAAAAUAAGAACAACUAGAAACUAAAAGGAAUUCAAUAAAUUUAAUGAACUCUUAAACCAAUACAUAUCAUGUAAUAACGCCCAGAAAGCUUGCUGAAUUAUUUACCAAGCUAUAUAUUCUGUGAAAAAAUACAAAAACUAAUCUUAAUGAAUUAGUUUAAGGAAAUCGUGCAAAAUAUCGCAUACAUAUCAACACUCUUGCAAAGAGUAAAGCCUAGUUUAAUCCAGAAUUAGUCAUUAAAUUUACAAAAGAAAGUAUAUUAAAAUAGUACUUGCAUCAAUGUAUUAAAAUUGCUUAAAGAAUAACCCCUAAGGUAGCCAUUUUUGUUAGAAGUUUUACAUCAGUUAUCGAAUAAAAAAGAAUAUAUACAAAAGUAUCGCCACAUAUCAUUGAGGUAGCCUCACAAGAUUCAAAGACAGUGAAAACUAUAUCAGCUGAAAAAUAUUAUACCGACUUCAUUGACUUGCAGAAAUUUUUAAAGAAAAGUUAAUUACUUUAUUAAGUGGACCAAUUUCAAACGCCGAUAAGACUCGAUAACACACAACGGAAAACUACACAUUAAUUUGCCAACUGCCUUGCCUAUUAUGCAGAUCCAAAGAAAAACAUCAGAUUUAAAGUAAUACAUUUCUGUUAUGCGCUACCGUCUUUUGGGCCAAGUUAAAGUGCCGCUAGCAAGGCUAAAGGAAAAAGAAACAGCGUCGAAACUUUUCGCCAAAGUAGGUGAAGAUUCAGAAGCUUGUUCCUGUUCCAUUGCGUGAGCGUUUUUUCACAGAAUAGAUUGGUGAGGCAGUAGGAAUGCCAAGAAAGUAACUUUAAACGGUAUCCGUGUAGUCGUCUACUUCUUAGUGGUCUCGAGACUUCAGUGCAUAUUUAAUGGCAUUUGUGAAAGCACACGCAGCUUGAUUGGCAAGCAGAUGAUGUCAUCUACGUCUGGGCUGCGAAAGUGGAUUUUCUAGGAGUACCUCCUACAGGUGGACAACCGGGCUUAAUCGCUGCCCCAAGAAUUAAUCAAAAUUCAUGUAGCAUACCAUCCCACAUCUCCCAGAAUACAGCAAAUGCAAUUAGGCUGAGCUGUUUCUCCUACGGGUAAUACGUAAGAGUUUUAUGUAAGCACACUGAGAGAAAUCUUACACUACGCAUUACACUAAUUCAAAUAAUUUCAUUAAAAAUUGUAAUAAAAAUUGGGAAAUCCGUAGAUUAAUCGGUGAAUGUCCUACACAUCUUCGGGCUAAUCAAUAUGAGAGAGUUGGUACAAAGACUUUACAGUGUACAAUUAUGAAUGUGUGUGGCCCGGAGCAAUCAUUUAAAUAGCCUACGUUUUAGGUACCUCACACGCCGCAUGACAUCCGCACAAAUAUAUCAUAAGCGGGCGGGACACAAAA
Drosophila ananassae is the source of this 2481-nucleotide long non-coding RNA. RefSeq lists it as uncharacterized. NCBI's taxonomy places the organism in Eukaryota, Metazoa, Arthropoda, Insecta, Diptera, Drosophilidae. The transcript has 4 exons. The record is from RefSeq and is a predicted model, not a curated record.